UAUGAUACAUAAUCAACAAUUUACAGUAGCUCUUGGACAAGACAAAGUCGGUUUGAAUAUUUGAAUUGGACUUCAAAGUUCGGACAGUGGCUGUUUAUAAGUUAACUGACGAAACUGAAUGGGUUGAUCACUAACUGACUGACAAAAUUUGUUCGACAAAACAAAGCAGUCAUAAAUUAGGUGCUUGUGAUCUUCUAACCAUUGCUUAGUAUCAGGGUCUGCACCAUAAAUUAGGAUGUUCUUUAAUGAAGCAGUCAUAUGAUUACAGUUCGAUAAAAUCCCUUACAAAUGGAGUAGACUGUAAUUCAGCGAUUGAUAUUCCGAAAUGCUUAGGUUAGAUUACUUCAGAUUCAUUUGCACAUUUUAAGCUGGACUAAUUUCAACAUGAUCCAUGGAAUUCAGGCCUUGACUGUUAACUAUCCAGGAAGCAGGUUCUCUGCGGUCACUUUCACAAUCGACAGUAACUCCUAUGGCAGUAACUCCUAUGAAAGUUAUCUGACGAAACUGAAUGGGUUGAUCAGUAACUGACAGACAAAAUUUGUUCAACAAAACAAAGCAGUCAUAAAUUAGGUGCUUGUGAUCUUCUAACCAUUGCUUAGUAUCAGGGUCUGGUGUUUCAAUUCA
This 624-nucleotide long non-coding RNA is filed under the name Setaria italica (foxtail millet). RNAcentral's name for it is "long non-coding RNA (SITA_LNC002382)". The record is from RNAcentral. Lineage: Eukaryota; Viridiplantae; Streptophyta; Magnoliopsida; Poales; Poaceae.